AUGUCCUGGACCCUGGAAAAGAGACUGUGUAGACUGGGUAUUGAAGACACGUUUUCUAAGAGGAUGAAAGUUGGCAUUGCGAUGGUGAAAGAAGAAGACAUCAUCGAUGUGUUGGUUGUCCUUGAGGCGGCAGUAAUCCUGUCUAAUCUGAGGGAUGUCUCAAGUGCCAUUUCCAUGCUGAUGGGCCUUCUUUUUGCCCUCAACAUAGACUAUCCAAAGGAACUUAAGGACAUCUUUGAAGUCAUUCAGAACAUCCUAAUGAACAUUGGUGGAAGGCAGUGCAUCUCACUAGUGCAUGGUCUAAGAAACAGACUCUUGCAGAAAGCCAUGCAGAACUGUAAUUGUAUGUUCCUUAGUGUUAAGGACAGUUUUUAUUUUACUGUUUGUUUUUUUAUUCUUGCAAGUUCUCAUUCUCACUUUUGUAUGUCACUAAAUGACUACACUUUACAUUCCAGAUUAGACAAUUACUCAUUUGUUCAUGGUUUAAGAAACUUAUGUGAACAACAAUAUAAUGCUGGACUUUGCAGAUGCUUAUCUCAUGCAAGUCAGUAGUUUUUCCUUUGUUUUGCAAUUGAGCAGACUCAAACUGAUGUUUCUGAAAUAUCCAUCUUAUCAAAUGUUUCAGAAGCAUGCACUCAUUUUCAGAGAUAUUGGUUCUGUGGAAUUUGUUGCAAUUGUAAACGAAGACAAAUACAAGAGUUUGAUGUCUUAGUUGUUAUAAACUGAUCUUUACUGUCACUUAUCAAAGGUUUUGUACUAUUUUAAUAUUUCAAGUUUUAUGCUAACAGGUGUGACUGAGCACAAUGAAGUUUAAAAAUUUUGUAAAUGUAAAGAAUAACUUUUCUAAAAUAGCAAGUGUCCCGUUGAUACAUUACAUUAAUGCAGACUUUAUGAUGUUACUUCACAAGAAUCACUACUGCUCCUAGAGUAUUGGUCAGAAUUUAAUCUUCACCCAAACUGGGCUCAAGACCAAGUUCAAAUUUAUUGUUUCACUGGGAGCAGCCUUUGAGUUUUGAUGGAUUGUGAGCCUGAUGAGCUACGUCACUGAUUUUUCUGUUUCUCAGAUGACUAAGAUGGCACAAUAAAUGGUGAAUGUUGGGUGCUCAUGAGUAAUUGUCUUGUCAUGUUCUUAAAACAAACUUUCUGUAUGAAAUGAUCAGAUAGACUUUAAUGGAAUCUGUGGGGUUUUAUUUUUUUUUCUGUAAACAACAGAAAAUUAAUUUAAAGGAAUGUAGAUAUUUAAACCUGAGAUCUAAGAUAAACCUAACAGGUAGUUUUGCUGAAAUGGAUGUUAGAAAGCUAAAAAAACAAAACAAAACUUAAGAUGUUUAAUACACAUUUUUCUUUACAUCCAGUCAAUCAACUCUGAUAAUUAAAAUGAAAAUGAUUUACAAGUUCACUCAGCUACCUUAAGGAGCUCAGUUAAUUAAUAAACUUAAAUCAACUUAGCUAACAGGUUAUGUUAGUUAAGCUAAAAUAGAUUCCUAAGUUAAAAGAACUACUAAAGUAUUUGAAUUAACUAAAAAACCCAAGUCAACUGAACUAGGACAAGAGUUUAAACAACAGAUUAUUUUAAUUUAGCUGAAAGGGUUUUCCCAAGUAAAAAUGACAAUUAAAGGAGUUGAACUGACUAACAAAUCUCAGUCAACUAAACUAAGACGAAAGUUUAGACAACAUGUGAUUUUUCAUUAAGAUAACAAUUGGUUGUGUUAUAAGAACAAACUCUAUUUCUUGACUUAACUUAAAAUUUUAAGGCAGCCCUUUACCUCAUAUUUUUAAGUUGAAACAACAAGUUAUAUUUUACAGUGUGGGGCUUCUGUUUAAGACUAUGCUUCCUCCUCACCGUCACCCAGCCGCCCUCUUUCCCCAGCUGCUUGGGGUCUGCCGGGGAACAGCUAGCGGGGCCUACGCUAUCUUCGGCUGCACCAGCUACAGGGGCCUGGCUAGCUACGGGUGAAUGAAGGGUGCGAAGCCGAGUCUCCAAUUCAGUAAUCCUGGCCUCCAGAGCUGCAAAUAUGCUACAUUUGUUACAGGUAUCAUUACUGCUAAAGGAGGCCGAGGAGUAACUAAACAUCUGACACAAUGAGCGGGAAAGUGCAGGAGGGACAGGUGAAGUAGCCAUGGUGCUAACGAGUCGGCUACGAGCUAAGCUAAGCUAGCGAAACAGUACAGAGACAGUGAGUGAAUACUUUGGCUAUAAAUUAGGUAGUGAGUACACAGAAAGGGUGCUUCAGAUGAAGCACGUUAAGAUUAUACUAUGAAAAAGGAAUGUAUCAAAAGAUUUUAAUUAAAUUGCUAAGCAGAAAAGCUACUCAGAAACACCACUGUGUUUGAGCAGGAACAGGAAGUGAUACUCUGCCAAAUCCUCCCUUAUUCAUGCUGCAAUAGACUUAGGCUGCUGGGGGCUUCCCAUGAUGCACUCAGUAUUUCUCCUCAUCUCACCCCUUCUCACUCACCGUGUGUUUAAACACCACUCUGCAUUGAAUUAUGAGUUAUUAAUUUCUGGCUCUAUUCCACAGCAUCUCCUUUGUCCCGUCUUCCUCCCCUCAACGACAACCAGGCGUAGGAGAUGG
RNAcentral lists this long non-coding RNA (2573 nucleotides) under Oreochromis niloticus (Nile tilapia). RNAcentral's name for it is "lncRNA (ENSONIG00000037377.1)". Lineage: Eukaryota; Metazoa; Chordata; Actinopteri; Cichliformes; Cichlidae. The record is from RNAcentral.